Acinonyx jubatus (cheetah) is the source of this 1746-nucleotide long non-coding RNA. RefSeq lists it as uncharacterized. The record is from RefSeq and is a predicted model, not a curated record. NCBI's taxonomy places the organism in Eukaryota, Metazoa, Chordata, Mammalia, Carnivora, Felidae. The transcript has 4 exons.
UUAUACUUCAUUGUAAAUAUGGUUUGUAUAAAUGGUAAUGACUAUUCCAGUUUAACCCUAAUUUACUUUUAAUAGGAAAAAAUAAAUCAAACAUCAUCUAUUCAGUUUUUCAACUAAAUUGUGACAGCCUUUUCCACUCAUUUCUUUGAAAGGUCUCUGUGUUCAUACAGUGUAAUUAAUGGGGGCACAAGUGGGAGAGUGUUCAGUGGAGAGCCUUUUGUGCCCUUGAUGUGGCUUAUGGAUUGGAAUAAUGAAGGACAGGUAUCCAGGCCAAUUCUUAAUUUCCUUUCUAUUUCAACAUUUUAUUUGAAUGGUGGUAGGAACUAUUACUAUAAUUUACUAAGUCUUUUCUUUCAGAUAGUUAUUUUGAAGGUAAUUAUUAGAAGAGAUAAGAUAUACAUCUGUACAGAGAAAUUUUCUAAUUGCAUACAGGGGCUUCUUUAGAAUGUUUUAUACAUAUAUUUGAACUUUUUAUGAUCAGUAAAUUCACCAAUUAAAAAAGCACAUACACACAAAAAUCCGUCCUAGUCCCAGCCCAAUCAUUCUGCUGGACACAUGCAGAGAGGAAAAGUCCAGUAAGUACUAACUCAGGCAAGGGGUUCAUUGUGAGCCUUGCGGAACUUGACCGGCUGACUCAUGGUGUGGGGUGCAUUCAAGUCUCAUAACAGCUUUUCGGUCCAUCAGAAUCAGCACUCAAUAACUAAAACCUUAUUUUACUUUUCUUCUGAGUUCUUGCUUACCCAGCAUCAGCAGGGCUAUUAAUGCUUUCAUAGGGAUAAAAGAUAGUUUAGGAGCGAGAGAUGUCCUCCUAAAAUAGUUUAAGCAAAGAGUGAAAUGGAGUUUGGUGCAAGAAUCCAGAAUUGUUUUAACCUUCAGAAAUAGCAGAAGGCUUCACCAAUUUGUGUUCUAAGAGAAAGAAAACUUUAAACAUGAAGCUGUAUCACACGCCAUAUAAUCUCAGAUAGGGCAAGAUAGCUGGUCUAUGGUUUUCCUUUACUAUCACUUGGAGUCUUACAAUCUCUCUACCAUACUAUAGGCUAUGUAAGGGCAAAGACUUCCUUAUUCACCUUUAAAUCCUGAACCCCAGGCUUAAUGCUGACACCUUGUCACUCCGUGAAUGUUUUAUGAAUUAAUAAUUAUGUAUUUUGAGCCCAUAGCAAAGCAAAGAAUUGUCUUCUCAGGGAGCACUCCUAACUACUUCUGGUUUAAGUACUCCGGACAACUGCUCAAUUUGAAUCGAUUGUUGCUCAAAUGAACUCUUAAAAUUCUUAAUAUGCUUCAGUUUAUCUUUUAACAGUUCAGGGGUCAGAAGCAGGAACCAAAGGAGACACCCCAGUGGCCCCCAGGAGCAGUGAGCAACCUUGUGUAGAUACCUCUUAUGCCCGUGAGCUUGCUGCUUUCUCACCAUCUCUGGAGGUCAUGAGUUUUGGUGACCAGGAUGAGACCUAAUGGGACACCCAACUGUCUCCUAAGCCUGUAGACGGCAUCCUGGGAAAAUUGGCAGAAGCCAGCAAAGGCUAAGAAUUCUUGCCAAAGUCCUCUUUCCCAGAUCUUUGAUGCCAGGAUGACAAAGGAAGAUUUUCUUGGAGAAUCCAAAUUCUUUGUCCUCUGCAGUACAGAAGUGAAUAGGAAAUAAUCCAUGCUGGCCAAGAAGGCAAAGAUGACAAAACAGAAGCCUAAUUCGUUCAGUAAACUGCAAGUGCUUCUCUUGUGUCAGCAAAUGACAGAGUAAAAACUCUAUUCCAG